GUCCACGCCCUAAACGAUGUCAACUAGUUGUUGGUAGAGUAAAAUCUAUGAGUAACGCAGCUAACGCGUGAAGUUGACCGCCUGGGGAGUACUAUCGCAAGAUUAAAACUCAAAUGAAUUGACGGGGGCCCGCACAAGCGGUGGAUUAUGUGGAUUAAUUCGAUGCAACGCUAAAACCUUACCUGGCCUUGACAUGUACCGAAUUUACCAGAGAUGGUUUAGUGCUCGAAAGAGAACGGUAACACAGGUGCUGCAUGGCUGUCGU
Molecule: ribosomal RNA, 265 nt
Filed under: uncultured bacterium
Lineage: Bacteria
Description: partial 16S ribosomal RNA
Rfam family: Bacterial small subunit ribosomal RNA
Source: RNAcentral